Molecule: long non-coding RNA, 1449 nt
Filed under: Felis catus (domestic cat)
Lineage: Eukaryota; Metazoa; Chordata; Mammalia; Carnivora; Felidae
Description: lncRNA (ENSFCAG00000048639.1)
Source: RNAcentral
CACAAUAUCAACAUGCUAUGAUUUACUUAUCGAAUCCCUCAGGAAUUGUGUUUAUUUCAGAAAUGAGUAGCUACAUAACACCCAUGUUAGAAAUAAGGACUGAAUUUGACCAAGGUGAUAUUAUCAUGGGGAGUGUAUGUCUGUAACGUUCAGAGUGACUUAAAACAGGCCAUAUUUAUUUACCCUAUUAUCAUUAACAGCAGUCCAUGCUCCCCCUUUUCUCCUCAUUCACUUCCUGUAACUCAGCCUAGAGCCCAGGUUGUUAGAGUGGUAACAGAUCUGGACUUUGGAAUGGGUUUGUGUACAGGCACCUUGGCUUGUGAGAUACAUGAACUUGGAAAAUUGGUGUCUCAGCUUUCUCUUCUGUAAAAUGGGGGUAAUAAGACAUUCAGUCAAUACUUGGAAAAAUCCUUCAAUAAGAAAGCAAGAGUUUGCUCUGGUUAAGCAGUAAAGCUCUGGUGGUCAAAAGUCCGGUUUCGCUUCCUAAAGCAAGUUACUUGAGGGAUAUGUUGGGAGACUGAAAAAUAAGGCAAAACAAGAUAACUUUGUUUUCUUUGCAAGGAGUCUGGGGUCCAUCAGUCUGCAUCUAGUUUAGCGUCUGUGGCUCACUGCAUGGAAGCUGUUCACCAGAGGUUCCCUCUAUCAUAUGUCUGCCUGGAGCUCUGAUUUCUGCGACUUCAGGAAGAGAAAGAGCCUGGCAGGGCCCAGGCUCAGCUUUUGCCUCUCUGGGGAAGUCUCUCAACCCGUUGCUGAUCUGACCCCAUCUUUGGAGAUCUGCUUCUAAGAGCCCGUGAAGGAUGAAGACCUCAAAGCAAUGCACGAUUAUCAUCAUCAUCAUCUUAUUACCAGCAUAAUGACAAUGAUAAUAGCUAAAAUGUAUGUCCCUAGGCACUGUUCUAUGUAUUUACAUGUACAUAAUAACCUAUAGAGCAAGUGUUAUUAUUAUGUCCAUUUAAUAUGAAGAAACUGAGGAACAGAGAAGUUAUGUAACUGGCUUAGGGUCGCUCAGGUAGUAAGGACAGUCAGACUUACCUCCAGGACCUGAGAUUUUUGCUAUUAGAAAUGACAUAAAUGCAAUUGGAAUCAAGCUGGCAGGAUUCCCUGACAACAUCUAGUAGAUGUUAGAAUUGUGAGGAUGUUUUCAAUUUGGUUUCCCAGUUUCUUCAGAGUUGUCAGUAGCAAUGUCCAUAUAGUUAGCAGCAAGUCAAAGAGGAAACAAUAUGAAUAUGUUUAUGUUUGAACAUUGAUCUUUACAAAGAAUUAUUUUCUAAAACUAAUGUUUAUCAGGGUCAGUCUAGAGAGUUACAAAUCAAACAAGGAUGGUUUCUGGAUUAGUUAGAUUACAUUCAUAAUAGAAAACUUUUGGACUGGGGUUCUGUAAACCUGGCCGUAUCGCUUUUCUGGACCUCAUAUUUUCCAUGUACAAAAUAAAGGAGUUGGAUUGGAUCA